UAGAGGCUGUCAUUGAACUAGCUCUCUUAGACCAAGCUGGCCUCGAACACACAGAGAUCUGCCUGCCUCUGCCUCCCGAGUGCUGGGAUUAAAGGAGUGCACCACCACCACCCAGCAUAGAAAUUGUUUCUCAAUUGACUCUGAAGGGAAAAUUGAGACUUCACCAAUUAGCAGGAAUAGACCGAGAAGACAUUGUACUACUUUUUGCUAAUGCUGAAAUUGCCUCAUAUGGCAGCGAAUACUGGCAAAGAGCUUGCAGUAAUUGUGACAGAGAGAUUAGCAACAAAUAUCCCAAAAGCAAGAGAUUUCAAUUUUUAAAAAGAGCUAAUUGGAUUCUCUCUCAUAUAAUAAAGGGAACACCAAAUUCUGGAGCCCCUACACUCUAUACUGAUGCAAAUAAAUCAGGAAAGACAGGCUAUAAGUCAGGAAAAAUAAGCAAAAUGGCUCAAAGCCCUUAUGAUUCAAUUCAAAAAUCAGAAUCUGUUAUUUUCAUGGUAUUAUUAGAUUUUCCAGGAUCUCUGGCACAAGGUAAUGAUGAAAUUGACCAAAUAUAAUAGGAAAUGUUCUAAAAAGUCUCAGAGUUUUAUAAGAUCAUGUUAAUAGCAAAAGUUUGAAGAAAGAUUUUUCCAUCACUAGGUAAUAAGCCAAGAAAAUUAUAAGGAAAUGUCUUACUUGUUCUUUGUAUAAACAAAUUCCAUUACCUUCAGGAAGUAACCCAAAGGGUAUUUAUCCAAAGAAAUAGAAUUUGACAAAUGGAUGUGUUUCAUUUUGCUGAGUUUGGGAAACUAAAGUAUGUGUACCAUGCCAUAGAUACAUAUUCAGGAUUUCAAUAGGCAACUGCAUUAAGUUCUGAAAAGGCUCAUUCUGUAAUUACACAUUUAUUAGAAAUCAUGGCCAUGAUGAGAAUACCUAUACGAACUAAAAAUGACAGUGCUCCAGCAUAUGUCUCUAGUAAAACGAAAAAAUAUGCAUUUUUGCAUAUUACACCAUAAAGCAUAUUACAGGUAUACCACACAAUCCUACAGCACAAGCAGUUUGUAGUAAGAUAUCCACACCACUCACACCUUUAGCACUGACCAUGCCCUUUCGGGUGUGGUCACAGGUGUGAAAGUGACAGAAGGCAGGACUAGAUCUGGGGUCCCCAAACCCAGGGGUCUCUCUCUUGCUUCUGGUCAGGUCACAGAGAGCAGCCUGGGUGGAUCCUUGGAGCUGGAACCUGUUGUGGUCACCAGCUUCUUGUGUAAGUCCAUUCUCCCCACUUAACCUAUAUUGAGUCUAGUGAACCCUGAUCCCCACACAAUAGCAGUUAUAGUAAGUUACAGAAAGAUCUAAUCACACUUUAAAAGAUAUGUUUAAUAAAUAGAAAGGGGUAAUAUAAACCCCCAUAGCUAGAUUACACGAUGCUUUAUUAACUUCAAAUAUUUAAGUGCUAAUGACCAAGGAACUACAGCUUCAGAGAGAUAUUGGAUAGUAGAAAAAACUGCUAAUUAAAUCAGCCCAUGUAUUUUAAAGACAUGUUGAUUUCAGAAUGGAAGUCAGAAUAUGUGUUGCAUUAGGGAAGGUGUUUUGCUUUUGUUUCCACAAGAGAAGAAAAGCUAUGAAUACCAUCAAGAUUGAUAAAGAUUAGAUUAGAACAGGAGAGACCUGGUUAUUAGGAGAGGUGACAGUUCAUCAAACAGUUUUGUAGUCUUGCCUGUGAACCUGUAAAAGUGGCCACACUCCUUUGGGCAUGGCUUCAGGGAAAGAAAGAACCUCUCUCUCUCUCUCUCUCUCUCUCUCUCUCUCUCUCUCUCUCUCUCUCUCUCUCACACACACACACACACACACACACACACAGUCUCUUUAAUCUUGGGUUACAGAUUCGAUUGGAAGGGCAGAAAAAUGCUGUGAUGGUACCUUAUUGUUCUGUGUAAAUUUUUCCCCCAAUAAAGACCCAUUUAUCAUUUAUCUUGGGUCUAGUGAAUUAAUUAACCCUUGCCUUCACAGCUUGGUCAUUCAAUUAAAAGUAACUUAUUAAGACUAACAAAUGCCUUUCAUUUGAUCAGGUAUGAAUUUUUUUUUAAAAAUGUCUAAAAAUACCACAAGAUAUUAUGUAAACACAAAAAAAUCUAAAAAAUAAUACGUUUUCUGUUGCCAAAAAGCCAUUUUGCCUUAGCAAAGAUAAAACAUGCCAAAAAAGGAAGUCCCCAAAGUUAGGGUUGGGGCAGGGUUUUGUUUUUGUCUUCUUAGGAGAAUAAAAGGCAUCCAACUAAGGCUAUGGAGACAUCUGAAGAAGGACAAAUCAUCAAGAGAAAAAGUCCCACGACAAAGAGCAAAUUGGCUUACUGGUUUAGUCCACCUCCAACUGAGGAGAACUUCAUAAAUCUGCCCAAAUGCUGUUUUUUUUCUGCUCUUUGCAAAAGCAAGAGGCAAAUGGUCUUUUUUUUUUCAGUCCCAAUUCGAUUGAAAAAUCAAAGCUGACUUUGGAGUUAGAGGAUGUCUCUCUCCUCCUCUAAACCCAAGCAUGCUUGUUGAAGGAAAAUCCAAAAUCUCUGUUUUGUGUCAGAAGAGCCACCUGGUAUGGGACAGAAGAAAACCAAAACUAAAGAACUAUUCUAUUGCUGUUAAUCCAAUUAUCUUUGGUUUUGACUUUUUAAAACAUUUCUUAAGAUAUAAGUAUUAUCUCAAAAUCUGUAAGAUCGUUAAAUAUAUUUAAACUUUCUGUCAGGAUAUUAGCAGUCAUACAGAGCUAUAACUAACUUUAGAAACAAACUCCAUCUAGCUUCCUGUGCAUGCUUUCAGGUUUGAGUUCUGAAGCAGGUGAUUAGGAACUAAGUUUGUGUAACCAAGAGGUACUUAAUAGAGUGUGGUCCUCUAACCUUCUGGAGAUCUGCUGUACAUGGCAUUUAAAAUGUUUAAGUUUUCUUUCAAUGAACCAUGACCAUUCCUAACAGUGACCUUUGAGGUCUCCAAAAAAAUGAUGGGACCCUGCAAUGACAGAUCCACCUAGACAGUGGUAAUGCCGUUGAACUGACAAACUCGACCCAAAGAUCAGUUUCAGAUGGCAAACUGCUCAGGACAACUUCAAAGCUGCUUGCUGAGAUGGUCCAGCUUCACAGACUACUCCAGCCAAGACUUCAUAUACUCUCUGCCCAUUCCAAUCACACAGAGACUGGACAACAAAUGAUACAGCUAGCUCUUGCAGAACUUGAUCUUUAUUCCAGUUUUCUCAGGGUCCCCUAAAGAUGCCAUCACCCCCAGAUAAUAGGAAGUAAUUUUAAGAACAUGAUGCCUACAUUCCCAAGAGGUGGGGUAGGCGGUUUUUGGUCAUUUAGUGAGUUAUGGAUGUUUUUCAUUGUUUAUGGGGGUAGGUAAGUUGCAAGUUAUUUUUGGUUGUGGUCAUGGAGGAAACUAAACAAAGGAGGCUGGAUUAAGGGAUUUCUGGGUUUUUUUUUUCUUUCUCUAUUCUUUUUUAUCUUCUACCUAGUGUUAAAAAUGGGGCUGAGGAAUGAAAAUAAACAGAAUGGGCAUAUAGGAAUGAUAGGAUAAAAGGUGAGAUUAAUGAAUCUACUAAAAAGCAACUAUUAGUCUCAAUUAUUUUACAUUGGUAUGGAUUUUUGUAUAUUGAUAUAAGUUUAAGGUUUUGCUUGUUAUAACAUACUGUAUAUAUGUUUCUCCCCUUGUUUAAGGCAUUAUACCUAUUCAGCUCAUUUAAAAUGUAAUGUAAAUUUCUGGUAUUUGAAAGAUAUUAUUACAAACUAUUUAGGAUAACUAAGAAAUGCAGGUUAGUAGUCAUCUAUAACAAUCAAACUUGUAGUCAUGUUAGGUAUGUUUUCAAGGCUAAACAUAUAUAGUUUUGAUAGAUAGGUGGUCAUCAAAUACUUCAGAGAUUUACAGAAUAAGGAAUUUAAAUGAUUUAAUAACAUAAUGUUUUUCAUGACAAUGAGCAAUUGGUUCUCCUGGCAGAACCAAUCUACUUCAGAGAAGAUGAUGGGCACUGAAGAACCUCCAUAUAGAGUUUGCAUUCAAUGUACCAAGGAAGCCACUGGACAAGAAAAUGCCCUUGACACAACUGCUGACAAUAUGCUGUCCAAAUUUGGUGAGUUGGACACAAAGGAAGUUGACUUCCAAACUUUGCCAAGACAAGAUGGGCCAGUCCUUCAAAAUUCCCGCUUCACAGAAAAGUCUGUCAGGUAUUCUAGGCCUGUAGGCUGAAGAUGGAUACUCCAACAUUGCAGAGGACACUUUGGUAAUCAUCCAGACAGUCAGAUAACUCUGUCAUUUCUAUUGCUUUGGAAGUGGCUGGCUCUGUAUUUCCUGUUUACUCAGAAUUGGAGCUUUCACACUGAUGCCUUUUGGUUGGGAAGAAACAACAUUCUGACCACCAGGGGGUUCCAUCCCCAUAAACAGGACACACAUCUCUUCUGUGGACGUAUCUGUAAGAAACCAAAGCCAUGUUUGCAGGCAGGACAUGGGACUGAUACUUGCAAAUUCAGCCUCAGCACUCACCAUCCUAGAAAUGCACAACGACCGUGUAUCUAGGAAGCAGUGGGCAGUGGAAAUGGGUUUUCUCAGAUUUGAAACCUGGUCUUUGACUGUCUGUGAGGACCCUGGCUUUCCCUGUCCCCUUUCCUAGUAUCUGGGGAUAUUAACACUAUGUACUUUACAGGCUGCUGAGAGGAUAAAGGAUUAGGACUGGGUGUGGCUCAGGGGCAGAGUGUGAGCUCAGCAUGCUUGAGGCCUGGACUCCAUCCCCAGUAACGUGGGGAAAUAAGUAACAGACAAAGUAUGGAGUUCAUUAACUUACUUGAUGCUUAUUAAAUGUUACUUUGUUCUUCAUCAAUGUCAGUUACUAUGUUUCUUUCAGUCAGUGAUUUGAAUGCAAAAGAAAAAGCCAUUAAUUAAAUGUAUUUGAUUCUGGAAUUUUGCCUAGGAUCUCACCUGCCUAGGAAGUGGUUUCUUCUCCCAGGUGGCAUCCUUUAUAACACACUUAGCGUGAUGAGUUAGUUCUCAAUGUGCCUCAGAUCAAUGAGAUUCUGGCACUUUACUGCACACCAGCCCUGAUCUUUUCAUUGAGUUUAGAUUCAGCUGAAAUGCAGCAACAUAGUGAGAGAACCAGAAGCCUGUCCCAUAGAAUAUGUAAGAGCCAGGGAUGCAGCCACAAAGACCCAAGGAUGGCUAAGAUCCUGAAAUCUGAGCAUUGAUUCUAAGAAGUAGAACAGCAAUUGACAGAUCUGUUCACAAAGACAUAGCUCUAUCUUAGGAUAUAAUAAUGUUUAUGUAACUGAACGUUGAAAUAAGAGAUUGCGCACACACACACACACACACACACACACACACACACACACACACACACUGCCUGGAAUUCCAGUGUCCAGGUUCCCAAUGUAAAGACCUUUUCCAAACCUGGCUAUGGUGAGACAUACCUAUAAUGCCAGCACUUGGUAAGCUGCAGCGGGAGGGUCACCAGUUUGGGGACAGCUGAAGCUAUCUAGCCAGACUAUGUUAGACUGAUAAAUCUGUAAGCCUUUGUCUGCCACAUGUGAGCACACCCUUGGGAUCAUUAGGUCACCUUUAGCACUGAUCCACAUGACUCCAAUACUAUGGUGAACUCACUGGUCCCUUUUAGUAACGAAUAUUUCACAAGUGGCUCUGUACGAAGACAAAUGGGAAGUUGCUGACUCCAACCAUGAGGAGAGUUAGGUGGGAGUGGUGGGUCCCAGACCCAUUGCCAUAACUUUUACUGACAUUAUGAUCUCACCUUUAGGCUGGGAACCACCACCCUUUAGUGUGCUUCUUAAAUCAGAGACCUAUGUCUGGGGAUGUGGUUCAUUUGGGAGAGUUCUUGUCUUUCAAGCACGAGGUCCUGGGUUCAAUUCUCUGUGCUACUGAAAUCUGUUUGCCUAUAACUUAGUACUGGGGGGGUAGUGGUAGGAGGAUAAGGAGGAACAUCCUGGGUUAUGUGAGCCAGCCUGGGUCAUACAAGGUACUCUUCUGGUAUAAUGGAAAAAAUAAGUAGUUUCAAUAAAGAACUUUUCCAUGCCUUAA
Cricetulus griseus (Chinese hamster) is the source of this 6027-nucleotide non-coding RNA. NCBI's taxonomy places the organism in Eukaryota, Metazoa, Chordata, Mammalia, Rodentia, Cricetidae. The record is from RefSeq and is a predicted model, not a curated record.